Bacillus rossius redtenbacheri is the source of this 2241-nucleotide long non-coding RNA. RefSeq lists it as uncharacterized. Lineage: Eukaryota; Metazoa; Arthropoda; Insecta; Phasmatodea; Bacillidae. The transcript is spliced from 3 exons. The record is from RefSeq and is a predicted model, not a curated record.
GUCGAUCUAUGAUUUUUAUAAUGCUUUUAAAAAUUCGUAACAUAGGUAAAAAUAUUUCCGAAUGUGUGGUUUUACGCAGCUGUUUUAUGUAUCGUGUGUAAUGCAUACAAAAAAAGUAGAAACACACAACGAUAGAGUAUUAAUCGUUGAUUAAAAUGGUGUAAAAAAAUACAUAGGUCACCGCUGAAAAACUCCCAGAAUUCUUCUACGACGAAAAGCAUUUCCGCACAUUUAUUCUGCCGGGAAGUGUCUCCCUCGCGCGGCGUAUUCUUCAGCCGGCGACUGGAGCCGAGGAGUGGGGCUAGCGGCUGCUGUGAAGGCAGCGGAGGGGAAGUUCGUCUGACGGCUGCUCGGUCGCCGUAUCAGCGCGUCGGGGUAUCGGAUAUCGCGAUAAGCACAUGUGUUCGCAGGAAUAGUGUCUACCACUGAGGCCGCCUGGUCGGGAAGGGUCAUUCCAUGCCAAAUCAACCAGAAAAUAAUAAUUUUUGGCAUCACCAUCUCAGAAUUAAAAAAAACUCGGCAAAUUAGCAGUAGGUGUGCAGAAAAGUGCAUUAGCAAAGUUAAAGCCCCCUGUGAAUAAUACUUUUUAUACAGCAGGGUUGCCAACUUGUGGAAAAAGUGGAAUUUUUGCUGCGCGAGGUCCAAUAAAAAUAUUUGUAACUUCCUUUGUAGUUGAGUGAGAACCUUGAAGUAGGGCUCAAUAGAAAGCUAGAAAAGUGUCCUUUGAGAUAAAAAUAAGUUUUACGAAUUUUAGAAGAAAUUUGUUUCAAGGUCAUGGUCAUGUAACAUGUGACCUUGAAAAUUUUGAAAAGUAUAUUUUUGAAAAAUGUGAAAAAAUUAUAUGUUAUGAAGUGCGUUAUUGGUCUAAGUGACAUAAGUUUCAUUUUGGGAUGGAUCUGGGAUCAAACACUAGAACAUUGUGAAUUAGGCCAUGUUCACUAAAACUACUCUAGUAAGGCAUUAACACAAUUCCACUUUUUCCACAAAUUGGCAACCCUGCUGUAUAAAAAGUAUUAUUCACAGGGGGCUGUAACUUUGAGAAUUCACUUUCCUGAACCUGUACUGUUAAAGCCCUAAGUUUCAUUGAAUUCGGUGAUGGUGAUGUCAGCAGGUGUGUGAAAUGGCAUUGAAUGACCCGGAAGUAAUAAAUUCUAGGAUUCAGGCAGUUAUUCCCAGAGAAAACCUCAACCAUUCUACGCCCACCAUAUCGCGCGGCGAGAAGACUCAGUAAGGCAUACUCGGAGCCAAGUGGAGGUUACCUGUAGGCGGAAAAAGUUGAGCGACUGUUAUUUUUACCCCUUGUUAGAUCGAUAUUUGGCUUUGUAACAGCAUCGAGAAGUACUAUUAUAUGCACGAUUUCUUUUUCAAGGAUGGAGUUAAAAAGAAACUGGAGAAAAUAAAGAAGAAUCAUCUUUAUAUUUAUGCAACAAGAAAGAAAAAUGAAGCUACUCAUCUCAAAGCAUACUGGAGUCAAAGGAAUAAAACUAUACCUAAACAAAACCAUGUCAAUGAAGAAUUGGAAAACCAGAGCCUAUCAAGAAUUCACUGCAGCCAUCAAGAACUGAUUGAAAACGAAAUAACUUCCGGAGUGCAUGAAGUAGUGUACUAUGAAGAAAGCUAUCCGGCAAAGAAAAAAUUUAAACUUGAUAGCUGCAGUUAUCAAGUUCCGGAAGGUAGAGACUCACGAUGACACCUUGGCAGCCAGGGAGUAAAAACGGCACAAGAAAUUUCUUCAAGAGAAAAUGACACAUCAGAUGAAGAGAAUAACUACUCUGUAACCAAUGUCCUGCACAAUGAAGAUGGGCAGUGUAUGUAAGUCCCUUAGCCCACUUUAAAAAUAAGUUAAUUACAAAGUGUUUUUAAUACAUGCUAUUUUUCUUUCUUCAACUAUUUCCUGAAAAAUUGUUUACUUUUUUUCCUUCGUAUCAUUUGCACACGGUCGGGUAGUUAUAAUAUUACACGAAACUAGACAUUCUUUCGAAACUAUAUUUCUAUCUAAAUAAAUCAAUAUAAAUAGUUAAAUGUUAUUGCUACUGUAAUGUGGCUCUUUCAGCUCUACAGCCAUGUCUUACACAGAAAUGCAACCGCCUCUGAAACUAUUUGAGAUGGAAGCAGGAUGUUCUUUCUGGUCAACCACCGAAGGAGCCAUUGACAUUCAGUAUGAGCUGGUGGACAGGAAUGAGCCAACUGUAGACAGUAGAUGUAUCAACAAUUCAGAGACAAGCAAUCAGGUUAGCUGAA